This 1541-nucleotide ribosomal RNA is filed under the name Escherichia coli. RNAcentral's name for it is "partial 16S ribosomal RNA". It matches the Rfam family "Bacterial small subunit ribosomal RNA". Lineage: Bacteria; Pseudomonadati; Pseudomonadota; Gammaproteobacteria; Enterobacterales; Enterobacteriaceae. The record is from RNAcentral.
AAUUGAAGAGUUUGAUCAUGGCUCAGAUUGAACGCUGGCGGCAGGCCUAACACAUGCAAGUCGAACGGUAACAGGAAGCAGCUUGCUGCUUUGCUGACGAGUGGCGGACGGGUGAGUAAUGUCUGGGAAACUGCCUGAUGGAGGGGGAUAACUACUGGAAACGGUAGCUAAUACCGCAUAACGUCGCAAGACCAAAGAGGGGGACCUUCGGGCCUCUUGCCAUCGGAUGUGCCCAGAUGGGAUUAGCUAGUAGGUGGGGUAAAGGCUCACCUAGGCGACGAUCCCUAGCUGGUCUGAGAGGAUGACCAGCCACACUGGAACUGAGACACGGUCCAGACUCCUACGGGAGGCAGCAGUGGGGAAUAUUGCACAAUGGGCGCAAGCCUGAUGCAGCCAUGCCGCGUGUAUGAAGAAGGCCUUCGGGUUGUAAAGUACUUUCAGCGGGGAGGAAGGGAGUAAAGUUAAUACCUUUGCUCAUUGACGUUACCCGCAGAAGAAGCACCGGCUAACUCCGUGCCAGCAGCCGCGGUAAUACGGAGGGUGCAAGCGUUAAUCGGAAUUACUGGGCGUAAAGCGCACGCAGGCGGUUUGUUAAGUCAGAUGUGAAAUCCCCGGGCUCAACCUGGGAACUGCAUCUGAUACUGGCAAGCUUGAGUCUCGUAGAGGGGGGUAGAAUUCCAGGUGUAGCGGUGAAAUGCGUAGAGAUCUGGAGGAAUACCGGUGGCGAAGGCGGCCCCCUGGACGAAGACUGACGCUCAGGUGCGAAAGCGUGGGGAGCAAACAGGAUUAGAUACCCUGGUAGUCCACGCCGUAAACGAUGUCGACUUGGAGGUUGUGCCCUUGAGGCGUGGCUUCCGGAGCUAACGCGUUAAGUCGACCGCCUGGGGAGUACGGCCGCAAGGUUAAAACUCAAAUGAAUUGACGGGGGCCCGCACAAGCGGUGGAGCAUGUGGUUUAAUUCGAUGCAACGCGAAGAACCUUACCUGGUCUUGACAUCCACGGAAGUUUUCAGAGAUGAGAAUGUGCCUUCGGGAACCGUGAGACAGGUGCUGCAUGGCUGUCGUCAGCUCGUGUUGUGAAAUGUUGGGUUAAGUCCCGCAACGAGCGCAACCCUUAUCCUUUGUUGCCAGCGGUCCGGCCGGGAACUCAAAGGAGACUGCCAGUGAUAAACUGGAGGAAGGUGGGGAUGACGUCAAGUCAUCAUGGCCCUUACGACCAGGGCUACACACGUGCUACAAUGGCGCAUACAAAGAGAAGCGACCUCGCGAGAGCAAGCGGACCUCAUAAAGUGCGUCGUAGUCCGGAUUGGAGUCUGCAACUCGACUCCAUGAAGUCGGAAUCGCUAGUAAUCGUGGAUCAGAAUGCCACGGUGAAUACGUUCCCGGGCCUUGUACACACCGCCCGUCACACCAUGGGAGUGGGUUGCAAAAGAAGUAGGUAGCUUAACCUUCGGGAGGGCGCUUACCACUUUGUGAUUCAUGACUGGGGUGAAGUCGUAACAAGGUAACCGUAGGGGAACCUGCGGUUGGAUCACCUCCUUA